RNAcentral lists this ribosomal RNA (794 nucleotides) under uncultured bacterium. RNAcentral's name for it is "bacterial SSU rRNA". It matches the Rfam family "Bacterial small subunit ribosomal RNA", at positions 545 to 1352 of the family's 1533-position model. The record is from RNAcentral.
UCUGAUUAUUGGGUUUAAUGGGUGCGUAGCGUCUGUAGUUCAGCGUGAAUUUGCAGCUACCUGUAAAAGUGCCGUUGCAUACUGUGAGGCUAGAAUUUGGUUGCUGUGGGUGGAAUGUGUGCUGUAGCGAUGAAAUGCUUAGAGAUCACACAGAAUAUCGAUUGCGAAGGCAGCUCACAAAGGCCAAGAUGACGCUGAGGCACGAAAGUGUGGGGAUCAAACAGGAUUAGAUACCUGGUAGUCACACUGUAAACGAUGAUAACUCGCUGUCGGCGAUAUACAGUCGGUGACCAAGCGAAAGCGAUAAGUUAUCCACCUGGGGAGUACGACCGCAAGGUUGAAACUCAAAGGAAUUGACGGGGGCCCGCACAAGCGGAGGAACAUGUGGUUUAAUUCGAUGAUACGCGAGGAACCUUACCCGGGCUCGAACGGUGCAGGAAUAUGGUAGAGAUAUCAUAGCUAGCAAUAGUCUGUAUCGAGGUGCUGCAUGGUUGUCGUCAGCUCGUGCCGUGAGGUGUCGGCUUAAGUGCCAUAACGAGCGCAACCCUUGUCAUUAGUUACCAUCAGGUCAAGCUGGGGACUCUAAUGAGACUGCCACCGUGAGGUGAGAGGAAGGGGGGGAUGACGUCAAAUCAGCACGGCCCUUAUGUCCGGGGCGACACACGUGUUACAAUGGGGGGUACAGAGGGCAGCCAUCCGGCGACGGAGCGCCAAUCUCAAAAACCCUUCUCAGUUCGGAUUGGAGUCUGCAACCCGACUCCAUGAAGUUGGAUUCGCUAGUAAUCGCGCAUCAG